Molecule: non-coding RNA, 73 nt
Organism: Potamilus streckersoni
Lineage: Eukaryota; Metazoa; Mollusca; Bivalvia; Unionida; Unionidae
Source: the annotation of a GenBank genome assembly
GUUCAUGUGGCCUAGUGGUUAGAGCAUCCGCCUCGUAUACGGGAGGUCAUGGGUUUGAACCCCAACAUAGUCA